Molecule: long non-coding RNA, 2118 nt
Organism: Papaver somniferum (opium poppy)
Lineage: Eukaryota; Viridiplantae; Streptophyta; Magnoliopsida; Ranunculales; Papaveraceae
Exons: 4
Source: RefSeq, a predicted model, not a curated record
CAGAUUUUUCUCACUCUUCUAUCUCCUUCCUCUUUUUUAUUUUUUCCUGCCUUCAUCUGCUUCUGCGGUGAUCUUUCUUCUCUCUUCUUUGCCCACCUACACAGCUCCGCUUCAUUUACAAAAAUCUUAAACACCACCGCCUCAUACCGUAGUCGCAUCUAUCUAAACAUCAAAAAGAAAAAGUUAAUUAAUCACUUGAUGAUUUUUAUAGGAGGAUUAGUUAUUUGUUAUUUUUUUUUACAAAUCGGGGAUUAGUAAUUUGUUAUUUCUGUUGAUGAAGGCUUGUUUGAUUUGUUUCUUCUUUCCAUGUUAGUUGUCAGAUUUGAUCACAAUCACACGGCUGCUAAGAAUAUGGCUACUGGAGAUGAUUUUAGAGAUUCAUUUUCAAGAGGCUUUAAAUUAUUUUAGUGCCCUUGUGACAUGGGCAAAUGUGUAAUACCAUUAAUUCCUAGAUUUAUUUACUAUUAUGCCCUCACCAAUUUGCAGGGGUAAAAUAGUCCAAAAUGGGCAGCUUCAACUAAGGGUAGUUGGCUUUAUGUAGAAUAGAUAGAUAGAUACCAUAAAUAUCGUUUUAAUAUUAAUAACGAUUUAAAUGGAAUCAUCAUUUUAGAUCCACAAAAUCUUCUUCCUUUCCUCCUCUUUCAGCCACCAUCACCAUCUCUCCCACCACCACCACCUCCGCGGUCUUCAACAAAUUAACACCCAAUAGAACCUAUUAAUACUUUUUUUUGGUUCAUUUGGGUGGGAGAGAUUUUCAGAGACGAUUUGAAAUUUUGAGAGAUAUCUUUGUCUGAGAUCAAUCAAAUCUUCGAAAUCGAACUUCAUAGUCACCAUCAAUAGUUGAUUUUCUUCUCAAUUUAAGUUCAUUUCGUUGUCAAUUGAAGAUCCAGACAAUCGAGACAGAGAUUUAGGUUUUCGAUUUUGUUUUCAGGAUAUUUUGUGGAGAUUGUUGAUUUUAAUAUAUAGUGGUGUUGGUGGUGGCAGAUGUUGUUGGUGGUGGAUGUUGCAACACUGGUGUUGGUUUCCUGUUGUUGAUGUACUGGCGGAGGUUGUGGUAUAUGAAUCUGGAAUUAAUGUUGUCAAUAAGAAUAGUUAUGCAGUGGUGAUAAUGAUAGUGGGGUUUCUACAAGGAGAGGUCUUUGAGAUCCAUGCAUUUUUAGUUUUGUAAUAUUGAGUUUGCAAGUAGAACCAGUAAGAAGAGUGGCUGAUGUUCUAAAUCCUGGUGGUAGUGGUGGUGGUGGUGGUGUUAGUGAUGGUGGUGGAGUGAGAAAGUAUCAUCAAAAACAAGAUCAGAAUUGUUCUCACUUCUUAGAUGGUGGUACUGCUGGCGUUUUGUUAGUAGAAUUUGAACUACUCCAUUUACAUCUCUCGUUAUCCUAUUCUAGAGACUGAAAGAGGAGGGUUCUUCGGAAUUGUCGUUCGGUAGUAAGGGGUUUGGACUUUGGACUUAGAAUGCUUUAGACGGACCAGGCAGACCUCAACCAAGAGCCAGCAGACCUUGGUUGUUUUCAGACCCUGUCAGAAUCUAUUGGUGAUCCUUGGACAAAGAUGAGUCUGAAGAGCAAACUUAAGAUCUCAGUAACCAGGUUAGCAAUAUUAGCUCUCCCAUCAUCUCUACUGCAAAAAAUGACCAUCAUAGCUUAUGCAUUUGUAUUGUUGUAAGUAACUGUCUUAUGAGCGGCUAAAUUUUGAGUGCGUAUUUUCUUUAUGAAUUAUGUUAAUUUGUUACUUUUGAUUUUUGUAUGUAUACUGAAUGAGAAUGAAAUUAUAGGUGGAAAUAAAAAUUGCUCUUUGCGGAUACAUUAAACUCAAGGGUAUCAGAAGUGUAGUGACUAGUGUAAUUUUUUUUUAAGGUGUCUAAAUGUUCAUUGUUGGCCUAUUUCAUCGUCUGUGUACAAGCCAACAAGUCUAAUUCUCGGCAUGCAUUUAAUCUUGAAGCUUUUACCAGUGAGUUCUACUUAUAUUUACAUAUUUCUGGUGAUGUCAGUGUAUUCUGACAGACUGUGUCGAGCUAUUCAUAUACAUCGUUUGAUGUCUGUCAUUAUAAAAAUAUACAACAAUCAUGUGUUAUCCUCGUAAAGAUGGUAAUUGAAGACAAUGACCACCUUAUUACUUUUA